GACGAACGCUGGCGGCGUGGUUAACACAUGCAAGUCGAACGGAAAGGCCCUGCUUUUGUGGGGUGCUCGAGUGGCGAACGGGUGAGUAACACGUGAGUAACCUGCCCUUGACUUUGGGAUAACUUCAGGAAACUGGGGCUAAUACCGGAUAGGAGCUCCUGCUGCACGGUGGGGGUUGGAAAGUUUCGGCGGUUGGGGAUGGACUCGCGGCUUAUCAGCUUGUUGGUGGGGUAGUGGCUUACCAAGGCUUUGACGGGUAGCCGGCCUGAGAGGGUGACCGGCCACAUUGGGACUGAGAUACGGCCCAGACUCCUACGGGAGGCAGCAGUGGGGAAUAUUGCACAAUGGGCGGAAGCCUGAUGCAGCAACGCCGCGUGCGGGAUGACGGCCUUCGGGUUGUAAACCGCUUUCGCCUGUGACGAAGCGUGAGUGACGGUAAUGGGUAAAGAAGCACCGGCUAACUACGUG
RNAcentral lists this ribosomal RNA (468 nucleotides) under uncultured bacterium. RNAcentral's name for it is "partial 16S ribosomal RNA". It matches the Rfam family "Bacterial small subunit ribosomal RNA", at positions 28 to 507 of the family's 1533-position model. The record is from RNAcentral.